AACAAAUAUGGAGUCUGUUGGAAUACAUCAAACCAGCCUUGCUGGUGGUUUGAUUUAUUCCAACAGUUUCUCCAUCAGUUGCAACAUCAACAACAACAUAAACUACAAAGAAACAACAAAUAAAAAAUAUCAACAACAAAGAAAAUAACAACAUUUGUUCUAACAACAUCAUCAAUAACAAAGAAGCAAUAUCCUAUUUUUCAACACCAUCAACAACACCACAAGUUCCAACAACGCCAACCCCACCAACAACAUCAAUAAUAGUAUCAACAACAAAGAAACAAAUAAAAUACAUACAAAAAAUGAUACUACCAAUAAGGCUUUUAAACUUCUCCCAACAGAUGACUUUUUCGUAUAUUGUAAUAAAAAUUCUCUGUUCGUUUAUUCAACAAUUAAAAGUUUCUUCAAAUUUUUUAAAUAAAUAUGAUAUGGGUAAAUGGUAAUUAAAUAAAAAAAUAGCUGUAAAUAACUUGCAAAGAAGAAGA
This 485-nucleotide long non-coding RNA is filed under the name Capsicum annuum. Its description in RNAcentral is "long non-coding RNA (CANN_LNC006261)". Lineage: Eukaryota; Viridiplantae; Streptophyta; Magnoliopsida; Solanales; Solanaceae. The record is from RNAcentral.